UAGUCCACGCCGUAAGCGAUGUCUGCUAGCCGUCGGGGUACUUGGUACUUCGGUGGCGCCGCUAACGCAUUAAGCAGACCGCCUGGGGAGUACGGUCGCAAGAUUAAAACUUAAAGGAAUUGACGGGGGCCCGCACAAGCAGUGGAGCAUGUGGUUUAAUUCGAAGCAACGCGCAGAACCUUACCAGCCCUUGACAUCCUGAUCGCGGUUACCGGAGACGGUUUCCUUCAGUUCGGCUGGAUCAGUGACAGGUGCUGCAUGGCUGUCGUCAGCUCGUGUCGUGAGAUGUUCGGUUAAGUCCGGCAACGAGCGCAACCCACAUCUUUAGUUGCCAGCAGUUCGGCUGGGCACUCUAAAGAAACUGCCCGUGAUAAGCGGGAGGAAGGUGUGGAUGACGUCAAGUCCUCAUGGCCCUUACGGGUUGGGCUACACACGUGCUACAAUGGCAGUGACAAUGGGUUAAUCCCCAAAAGCUGUCUCAGUUCGGAUUGGGGUCUGCAACUCGACCCCA
RNAcentral lists this ribosomal RNA (511 nucleotides) under uncultured bacterium. Its description in RNAcentral is "bacterial SSU rRNA". It matches the Rfam family "Bacterial small subunit ribosomal RNA", at positions 791 to 1320 of the family's 1533-position model. The record is from RNAcentral.